CCUGGCAUCACAAGGCUGAUAGAGAUGUUUCCUGCUCUUAAGUCCUUUCUUUCACAAGAGCAACCACCAACAGUAAUAAAAAAAUUCUUUGAAAAUGAAAUGAGUGAGAUUUACCUCUGGCACAUGCACUCUUUAAUGGCUGUAUUUCACACACACGUUCAAACAAUUGAAAAGGAAAGUAACUCUGUUGUAGAAGUGCUGACAAAUUUGGAGUCUGUGUGUAAAGUACUUGCACAAAGAAAGAACCAGCAUUUCAUGUCUUUAAAAGUUAAAGGACUAAUUACUCAGAAGCGCACAGAAGGAAAAGAAGAAGAGUGUAACAGGUUCUGUGUUGAAGUAGUUAACCUGUACAACAGAUGCUCAGAGUACUUAGCUAAGUGGAUGAAACCACUGGAAGAGUUCUCUUGUUUCAAGUGGAUGGUCUUGAGUGAAAUGCCAAACUGGACUGAUGUGGAACCUUGUGUUGUAUACUUGAUAGACAAGGGAAUAGAGCUUGAUGAUGUAAAGUGCUUUGACCAAGUUUGUAACUUGAGGCAGUUUGUAGAAAGGAACAAGAAUGAUGAAGACUUCAGUAAAUUACCAGCACAUAAAAAAUGGACCAGAUACUUUGAAGCAUCAAAGAAUAUUGAAUGCCACUCAGAACUGCUCAGAAUUGCACAAUUUUUUUUUUGCUGUAACAUCCCACAAUGCUAAUGUGGAGCGAGUCUUUUCGCUGAUGCAAAGUCAGCGGACGAAGGAAAGGAACAAGCUGAGUGUUGAUACAAUGAAAGGUAUUCUGACUGUACAGUACAACUACUGAGAGACCUCUUGCGUUGACUUCCUCAACUUUUUAAAGUCCAACAAGGAACUACUUAAAAAUAUAAGAUCUACAGAAAAAUAUGUAUCGGCACAUCAAGCAACACACGCAGUGGUUGAAGAAGAGUUAGAAGACACCAACUAAGCUAAGUGGAAAAACGGAAUUCAAGAUUAUCAGCCAUAUGCAAAGGUGAUUGCAGUGGCUCCAAGUCUUGGGAAAACCAUGUGUGGAGCACAAGCAGUCUGUCCACACUGAAAAUUUUGAGCUCAAGCAUACCAGCAGCACAACACAUCUGCUGAACAAUGCAGCUCCAAUUCCUGCAGAUAAACGAACUUCAGGCACAUACCACAGAGCAUUUCUGUGACUACACAACUGUGUUAUAACUGACUGAAUUGUGGUAAAGUGGCUUACAGCAGGAAAGGAAACACAACCGGCACAUCUGAGUCAAGCAUGUUAACCGAUGUGAUGAGCAAUGUGAACAAGGACACCAUCCACACCACCCAAGACAGUCCAGCAAUCUGGAAGGAAGACCAGCACAAUACCACAGCAAUUGAUGCAAAGAGCAGCAGAUUUCCUGCCUCCCAGGAUGUUGUAAUUUUUCACUGGACAUCAAUGAUAUGCUUUGAUUAGUGUGACAGUGGAGGACGAGGAGGAAGAGGAGGAGGCAGCUUGCUGUAGCAGUAUAUUAUCACAGUCCUAAAAGGAUUACAGUAAGCACUGCAUUUCUCGUUGAGAAACAUUUUGUUAGCAGGAGCAACAAACUCUGGCAGUCCUGUAAAGGAAGUUACUUUAAGGCAAUAUAUCUCAUGUAAUGAGUAUCAUCAAAGAUUUGUUUAAUUUUUACCAGGUUUCUGAUUCCAUUAUUGGAGGCAAGGAUACUAGUGAACAUGACAAAAGUUUGAAACUUGGAAACCAUGCAUUUUUGUUUGUGAUUAAAGAACUGAGAAAUGGAAAUUUUUUAGGUUAUUCCUUUUAUCUGGGAAAGACUGAUAUUAUGCAGAGUGUGAGAAUGAUGACAUGUUCAUUAGGCUUAAGACAUUGAUACUUAAGUAACUGCACUUUUUUUUUCUUCCUCUGACCAAGAGGGAAUACAAUGUUCUUCUCUUGGAAUCUUGACAUGUUUGCCGUCAAUGGUAAAUGGAUCCAUUUCUCGGAUGAUUCACCGAAGCUUUUGAAGAGACUCGGUAACACUAUUGUGAAGGAGAAAAGUAAAGUACAUACAGGGUAAUGUAAUUAAAUGAUGAACGUUUAAUUUUCAAUGAUCAUCAGCUUAAAAAUAUGAGACUUGCUCCUAACUGGUAAAUUCAACAUGUGUAGGAUUUUCAAGUAAUGAACAGAAUAGACACACAUUCCAUGGUAGGCUUACUGCCACAAGAAGCUGUCCUUAUUGCAGUAUAGGCAUGUAUAUCAGGUGCAUAGAUCCUUUUCAUUAUUGAAAUAGUUUAGUUACUCUUCAUUUUGAUGAUGUUUAUUGCUAAAUCCUGUAAAAUUUGCAAGGAAUGCAAGAACACCAUGGAAACUGUGCCAUUCACACACUGUAACAAGACAGCACUUCAGGUGCUGUGGCACAACUGGUCUUUGUUCAGUUCCCUUACCUUAGUUAUUAAUUAGAUGAACCAUACUUCCUUGACAAGACCACACUUCCUUGACAAGAUUAAGACUUGGAUUACCCACUGACUUCAGUUCCUAACUCUAAAUUUGAAGAUACAGUGAUGGCAUCAGACUACUUCUACCUCAUAAUCUUUUCCAUGUAACUGAUUGUGCCUGAAGAAGAUUUUUGAGCCUCAUGAAUGUCAAAUGACAAGGAUAUUUUGUCAGAUACCAGCCAUCAGUUAGACAGCAGCAGUGAGGCAGAUUAGAUUUAUGAUUUUACGUGGCCUUUUCACUUCCCAAUGAGGAAAAAAAGUGUAUUUUCUUUACCAGUCAUAAGUUUGUGUUGCCUUUGCAUGUGUUUCAACAACUAACCAAAAGCUUUAGUUUAAUGAAACUUCGAGUAUUUUAUGUCCUUAAAUAGGAAAUGGGAAGAAAUAAACAUGAAAAGUUGAAUAGUAAAUUUGCAUACAGUACACAGAUAUGCCCACAAAAUUUCUUUCUAGUUGUUUUUGUUUUUUUCACUGUAUUCUUGCAAAAAUUCUGCUCUUGUCCUACUGUCUCACUGCAUGUCCCAUGUCCAAGCUCAGGAUGCUGUAUUUUAUCCUGCAUAUAAUGUUUCAUCAGGUUUGUGCUCUUUUGUACAGCAUAUGCAAAAAUUAUUUAAAUUCUGCAUGUUUACUUUGUGGUGACAUAAAUGCUUCUCUUCUCUGAAAGUUUCUUUGGCUAGCUACAUGUUAUUAACAAUAUAUCUUUAGCUGCCAUAUGCCCACUGUAUAUCCUUACUUUAGUGUUGUUGUUGUUGUUGUUGUUGUUGUUGUUGUUGUUGUUGUUGUUGUUGUUGCUGCUGUUGUUGUUGUUUUGAUGUUGUUGUUGUUGUUGUUGUUGUUGUAUGCAGUUCUGAGUUGCCAUGUCAUUUGUUCUGAUAUGGAAGUCUUUGUGUUCUCUGUUAGGUGGUGUAGCCUUGCUAUGUUGACUCUGUUACCUCCUGAUGUACAUUCAAAAAGUCGAUAUGGGUAGAUAUUAAGGAAGGAUCACAGUCAGCAGUACUGGGAGUAGUGUACAGUCCACCAAACAGUACAAAGGAAAUUAACACCUCACUGUGGCAGGAAAUAAAUAGAGCAGGAAGGUACAGUCUGGUAUGUGUGAUAGGAGAUUUUAAUUUUAGGAAUAUCAACUGGAGCCUGAUGGUGGGUAACAAGGAAUCAGAGGAAUUUCUUAAGGUAACUCAGAAUAAUUUUUUAAAACAGGUAGUCGUUGAACCCACAAGGGGGAACAAUAUUAUACUAACAGGAAGAAAGCAGUCAUGCAGAUAGAGGUUGGAAGGCAGCUAGGUAACAGUGACCAUUAGGAAAUUAGGUACAAAUUAAAAUGGGAAGAAACUUUUAGAAGCAAAAACACUAUUAAAAUACCUGACUUUAGGAGAGGAGUUGACUGGCAACAGAUGCAGAGUGAGGUCAGGUCUGGGUCAGAGUUGAGAGAGAUAAGGCAGGAUGAGAGAGGUGAGGUGAGGUAUGAGGGUGCAGGACAAGAGGAGGGAAGAUGUGUCCAGAAGGGG
This is a long non-coding RNA of Scylla paramamosain (green mud crab), 3944 nucleotides long. RefSeq lists it as uncharacterized. NCBI's taxonomy places the organism in Eukaryota, Metazoa, Arthropoda, Malacostraca, Decapoda, Portunidae. The record is from RefSeq and is a predicted model, not a curated record. The transcript is spliced from 4 exons.